AGAGUUUGAUCCUGGCUCAGGAUGAACGCUGGCGGCGUGCUUAACACAUGCAAGUCGAACGAAGCGGUUACAGGGAUUCCCUUCGGGGAGGAACGGUAACUGUCUGAGUGGCGGACGGGUGAGUAACGCGUGGGCAACCUGCCCCAUACCGGGGGAUAACAGCCGGAAACGGCUGCUAAUACCGCAUACGCCCAGGAGGCUGCAUAGCUUCCUGGGGAAAACUCCGGUGGUAUGGGAUGGGCCCGCGUCUGAUUAGCUCGUUGGCGGGGUAACGGCCCACCAAGGCGACGAUCAGUAGCCGGCCUGAGGGGGCGGCCGGCCACAUUGGGACUGAGACACGGCCCAGACUCCUGCGGGAGGCAGCAGUGGGGAAUAUUGCACAAUGGGGGAAACCCUGAUGCAGCGACGCCGCGUGAGCGAUGAAGUAUCUCGGUAUGUAAAGCUCUAUCAGCAGGGAAGAAAGUGACAGUACCUGACUAAGAAGCCCCGGCUAACUACGUG
RNAcentral lists this ribosomal RNA (501 nucleotides) under uncultured Lachnospiraceae bacterium. Its description in RNAcentral is "bacterial SSU rRNA". It matches the Rfam family "Bacterial small subunit ribosomal RNA", at positions 8 to 507 of the family's 1533-position model. Lineage: Bacteria; Bacillati; Bacillota; Clostridia; Lachnospirales; Lachnospiraceae. The record is from RNAcentral.